AUUAGCAAACCAGAGGCUUAGAAGAUUUCUGAACCCCUUGCGGUUGAGACGAGCCAAGAUUGCAUCCUUGAUACACCUGUCAAUCUGCCUAAACAGUAGAGAAGGUAGAAGUGAUGGGCCAGCGUGGAGUCGCGAGUUCCGUUCACGCCAAAUCAGAUAUAUUGUAGCCUGGAAGACCAGACGCUUGAGCAGAGUAGCAGGAGGAGAAGCAGUAUCACUAAUCCAAUUCAUAAAAGCACCCCAGUUAUCGCAGAGCCAGCUAGCCCCCAAACGUCUUGA
Molecule: long non-coding RNA, 279 nt
Filed under: Brassica rapa (field mustard)
Lineage: Eukaryota; Viridiplantae; Streptophyta; Magnoliopsida; Brassicales; Brassicaceae
Description: long non-coding RNA (BRAP_LNC002634)
Source: RNAcentral